GAUGAAGAACGUAGCGAAAUGCGAUACUUGGUGUGAAUUGCAGAAUCCCGUGAACCAUCGAGUCUUUGAACGCAAGUUGCGCCCGAAGCCAUUAGGCCGAGGGCACGCCUGCCUGGGCGUCACACGUCGUUGCCCCCCCCAUCUACUCCUUCGGGAUUGCGGGGGGCGGAUGAGGGCCUCCCGUGUGCCUCGCCGCGCGGUUGGCAUAAAUGCCAAGUCCUCGGCGACGCACGCCACGACAAUCGGUGGUUGCGAAACCUCGGUUGCCCGUCGUGUGCGGUCGUCGCGCAUCGAGGGCUCGAAAAAAUUGCCGGGUUCCGGCUCGGCUUUCAACGCGACCCCAGGUCAGGCGGGGUUACCCGCUGAAUUUAAGCAUAUCAAUAAGCGGAGGA
RNAcentral lists this unclassified non-coding RNA (392 nucleotides) under soil metagenome. RNAcentral describes it as "partial contains 5.8S ribosomal RNA, internal transcribed spacer 2, and large subunit ribosomal RNA". The stretch from base 1 to 122 matches the Rfam family "5.8S ribosomal RNA", at positions 35 to 154 of the family's 154-position model. The record is from RNAcentral.